RNAcentral lists this ribosomal RNA (717 nucleotides) under Chytridium lagenaria. RNAcentral describes it as "eukaryotic LSU rRNA". It matches the Rfam family "Eukaryotic large subunit ribosomal RNA", at positions 88 to 861 of the family's 3401-position model. The record is from RNAcentral. Lineage: Eukaryota; Fungi; Chytridiomycota; Chytridiomycetes; Chytridiales; Chytridiaceae.
GGCGAGUGAAGCGGGAUCAGCUCAAAUUUGAAAUCUCCUUCGGGCGAAUUGUAGUUUAGAGAAGUGUUUUCUAGGAUAGCUCGGGCAUAGGUCCUUUGGAACGAGGCAUCAUAGAGGGUGAGAAUCCCGUCUGUGGUCCGAUGUCUAUUCUGAUGUGAUACACUUUCAAAGAGUCAGGUUGUUUGGGAUUGCAGCCUAAAAGGGUGGUAAAUACCAUCUAAAGCUAAAUAUUGGCGAGAGACCGAUAGCGAACAAGUACCGUGAGGGAAAGAUGAAAAGAACUUUGAAAAGAGAGUUAAACAGUACGUGAAAUUGCCAAAAGGGAAACGCUUGGAACCAGUGUUGCAACUAGUAAUCAGCCGUUCUUCGAACGGUGCACUUGCUAGGCGCAGGUCAACAUCAGUUUGUCUCGGAGUAAAAACCCUCCUCUCGGUUUUCGGACCGCGUGGUUGACAUGCUCUGGGACAGACUGAGGUCUGCUAACAGGAUGUUGACGAAAUGGUUUCAAACGACCCGUCUUGAAACACGGACCAAGGAGUCUAACAAAUAUGCGAGUAUUUGGGUGGUAAACCCUUAUGCGCAAUGAAAGUGAAAUUGGUGGGAUCUUCGGUGCACCAUCGACCGGUCUGGAUUUUUUUGAUAGAUCUGAGUAUGAGCAUAUCUGUUAGGACCCGAAAGAUGGUGAACUAUGCCUGAAUAGGGUGAAGUCAGAGGAAA